Molecule: small nuclear RNA, 99 nt
Organism: Chlorocebus sabaeus (green monkey)
Lineage: Eukaryota; Metazoa; Chordata; Mammalia; Primates; Cercopithecidae
Source: Ensembl
GUGCUCGCUUCGGCAGCACAUAGACUAAAAUUGGAAUGAUACAGAGAUUAGCAUGUCUCCUGCGCAAGGAUGACAUGCAAAUUCGUGUUCCAUAUUCUU